GGACGUGGACCGGUUACCUGGGCAGGGUCCGAACUGCAGCAGGUUAGUCGGGUGAGUCGUCGGGGAUUUUACAGAAGCCCCAGCCGGCGGCUUUGGCCGUCAAAGUCUACAGACCCCCCACGCAGGAACCUUGCACCUCUCACACACGCCUCCUUUCGCCGGGCUCCCGCGACCUCGGCGGGCGAGGGGGUGCGGGCCGGCCGGCCGCGGGCGCCGGCGCGGGCCCCCGCUCGGUCCCCGCGCGCGCGGGGCCGGCCUGGCGCCGGGGCUGGGCGGCCGGGCCGGCGGGGCACUCACCGGGCCGGGCGGCGAGGGGCCGGGGCGCGCCCGCGGCUAGCCGGAGCGCCGGGGCGCCUCCCUGUGCUCUUGGUAGCGCCGGUCCGCACUCCGUGUGACCCAGGACGUCAUGAUGCCCGUUUUCUCAAUGACAACUUGGCAGGAGAAGAGAGAGGCUGCCAGGGUCUCCUCGGGCGCUUACGUGACAAAUGCCUUUCAUGCCGUUGGUCAUAAAACCUCCUGCCAGUGCUGGCAGCCACAUGGAUUUCUUACCCGGAGACGAGAUGUUUGAGUAACUAGCAAAGGGUAGAGGCAGAGUACUCAAGGUCUCUAAAGGUAGGAAUUAAUCCUUCCUACGUCCCGUCUCUUAAACCAACUCCUUUGCCUAAGAACGGUGCUC
Molecule: long non-coding RNA, 676 nt
Filed under: Dasypus novemcinctus (nine-banded armadillo)
Lineage: Eukaryota; Metazoa; Chordata; Mammalia; Cingulata; Dasypodidae
Description: lncRNA (ENSDNOG00000052384.1)
Source: RNAcentral